This 461-nucleotide ribosomal RNA is filed under the name uncultured bacterium. Its description in RNAcentral is "bacterial SSU rRNA". It matches the Rfam family "Bacterial small subunit ribosomal RNA", at positions 339 to 791 of the family's 1533-position model. The record is from RNAcentral.
UUACGGGAGGCAGCAGUGAGGAAUCUUGCGCAAUGGGGGCAACCCUGACGCAGCAACGCCGCGUGAGUGAGGAAGGUCUUCGGAUCGUAAAGCUCUGUCGGGUGGGAAGAAACGUAUGGAAGCUAAUACCCUUCAUACUUGACGGUACCACCAAAGGAAGCACCGGCUAACUCCGUGCCAGCAGCCGCGGUAAUACGGGGGGUGCAAGCGUUGUUCGGAAUCAUUGGGCGUAAAGGGCGUGUAGGCGGCUUGGUAAGUCAGAUGUGAAAGCCCUGGGCUUAACCCAGGAAGUGCAUUUGAAACUGUCAGGCUUGAGUAGGGGAGAGGAAGGUGGAAUUCCUGGUGUAGAGGUGAAAUUCGUAGAUAUCAGGAGGAACACCGGUGGCGAAGGCGACCUUCUGGCCCUAUACUGACGCUGAGACGCGAAAGCGUGGGUAGCAAACAGGAUUAGAUACCCCGGU